CCUACGGGAGGCAGCAGUGGGGGAUAUUGCACAAUGUGGGAAACCCUGAUGCAGCGACGCCGCGUGGGCGAAGAAGUAUUUCGGUAUGUAAAGCUCUAUCAGCAGGGAAGAAGACAUGACGGUACCUGAGUAAGAAGCACCGUCUAACUACGUGCCAGCAGCCGCGGUAAUACGUAGGGUGCAAGCGUUAUCCGGAUUGACUGGGUGUAAAGGGAGCGCAGGCGGCACGGCAAGCCUGAUGUGAAAGCCCGCGGCCCAACCGCGGGACUGCAGUUGGGAGUACCGGGCUGGAGUGCCGGAGAGGUAGGCGGAAUGCCUAGUGUAGCGGUGAAAUGCGUAGAUAUUAGGAGGAACACCAGUGGCGAAGGCGGCCUGCUGGACGACAACUGACGGUGAGGCGCGAAAGCGUGGGGAGCAAACAGGAUUAGAUACCCCAGUAGUC
This 442-nucleotide ribosomal RNA is filed under the name uncultured bacterium. Its description in RNAcentral is "partial 16S ribosomal RNA". It matches the Rfam family "Bacterial small subunit ribosomal RNA", at positions 338 to 795 of the family's 1533-position model. The record is from RNAcentral.